GCCCAGACUCCUACGGGAGGCAGCAGUGAGGAAUAUUGGUCAAUGGGCGCGAGCCUGAACCAGCCAAGUCGCGUGAGGGAUGACGGUCCUACGGAUUGUAAACCUCUUUUGCCGGGGAGCAAGCGUGCGUUCGUGAACGCACGUCGAGAGUACCCGGAGAAAAAGCAUCGGCUAACUCCGUGCCAGCAGCCGCGGUAAUACGGAGGAUGCGAGCGUUAUCCGGAUUUAUUGGGUUUAAAGGGUGCGUAGGCGGGAUGCCAAGUCAGCGGUAAAAAUGCGGUGCUCAACGCCGUCGAGCCGUUGAAACUGGCGUUCUUGAGAUGUCGAGAGGUAUGCGGAAUGCGCAGUGUAGCGGUGAAAUGCUUAGAUAUUGCGCAGAACUCCGAUUGCGAAGGCAGCAUACCGGCGGCGAUCUGACGCUGAGGCACGAAAGCGUGGGUAUCGAACAGGAUUAGAUACCCUGGUAC
This 467-nucleotide ribosomal RNA is filed under the name uncultured bacterium. Its description in RNAcentral is "bacterial SSU rRNA". It matches the Rfam family "Bacterial small subunit ribosomal RNA", at positions 329 to 793 of the family's 1533-position model. The record is from RNAcentral.